GGAGGGAGUAGUAUAUAUUUCUGCACUAUUUCUCAUUUUCUUUUUAUUACUUGUGACAUAAUAUUUGUUACAAUUUUUGGUAAAAUAUAAAUCCGGAGAUUUUGUUACGUUGUGCAAACUUCUAACAUUUUUUUAUAAUUUAGUAAAAUUUCUAUUAAGUUUUAGGAUUUUUAUUAAGCUUUCCAGAUUGGUACAACACAUAAUUUUGGGUUGGAUAGAACUCCGGGUAUGAAAUUUUAAAGUGGACUGUUAGUUUUGUGUUGUCAGCUUUAGUUUUUGAGGUUUACACAAUGAUUAGUUAAUCCUAGUGAAUUUUAUAAAAAAGAGAUAUAACAAAACUUAUGGACAAUAUAAUUGUGCAUGUUUUGGUGAAGUUUCAUAAAUUUUGGUUGAGUGGUUUAGUAGAUAUCAAGUUUUUACCAUCAACUGUCGGAACUCAAGACAGAUUCUAUGGCCUGAAUUGAAGAUUAGUACAGUAGUUUGGUUCAAAAUUCGACGUGUUAAUCUACUUCUCGAUUUGUUCACCGAAAAGGAAAAUGACUAUCGCAUAGCCCGCG
This 557-nucleotide long non-coding RNA is filed under the name Setaria viridis. RNAcentral describes it as "long non-coding RNA (SVIR_LNC001005)". Lineage: Eukaryota; Viridiplantae; Streptophyta; Magnoliopsida; Poales; Poaceae. The record is from RNAcentral.